UACGAAGGGUUCAAGCGUUAAUCGGAAUUACUGGGCGUAAAGCGUGCGCAGGCGGUUGUGUAAGACAGAUGUGAAAUCCCCGGGCUCAACCUGGGAACUGCAUUUGUGACUGCACAGCUGGAGUGCGGCAGAGGGGGAUGGAAUUCCGCGUGUAGCAGUGAAAUGCGUAGAUAUGCGGAGGAACACCGAUGGCGAAGGCAAUCCCCUGGGCCUGCACUGACGCUCAUGCACGAAAGCGUGGGGAGCAAACAGG
Molecule: ribosomal RNA, 253 nt
Filed under: uncultured bacterium
Lineage: Bacteria
Description: partial 16S ribosomal RNA
Rfam family: Bacterial small subunit ribosomal RNA
Source: RNAcentral